ACUCCUACGGGAGGCAGCAGUGGGGAAUUUUGGACAAUGGGCGAAAGCCUGAUCCAGCAAUGCCGCGUGAGUGAAGAAGGCCUUCGGGUUGUAAAGCUCUUUUGUCAGGGAAGAAACGGUGAAAGCUAAUAUCUCUUGCUAAUGACGGUACCUGAAGAAUAAGCACCGGCUAACUACGUGCCAGCAGCCGCGGUAAUACGUAGGGUGCAAGCGUUAAUCGGAAUUACUGGGCGUAAAGCGUGCGCAGGCGGUUUUGUAAGUCUGAUGUGAAAUCCCCGGGCUCAACCUGGGAAUUGCAUUGGAGACUGCAAGGCUAGAAUCUGGCAGAGGGGGGUAGAAUUCCACGUGUAGCAGUGAAAUGCGUAGAUAUGUGGAGGAACACCGAUGGCGAAGGCAGCCCCCUGGGUCAAGAUUGACGCUCAUGCACGAAAGCGUGGGGAGCAAACAGGAUUAGAUACCCCUGUAGUCCCAU
RNAcentral lists this ribosomal RNA (472 nucleotides) under uncultured organism. RNAcentral describes it as "partial 16S ribosomal RNA". It matches the Rfam family "Bacterial small subunit ribosomal RNA", at positions 335 to 798 of the family's 1533-position model. The record is from RNAcentral.